GACGAACGCUGGCGGCGUGCUUAACACAUGCAAGUCGAACGGUAAGGCCCUUCGGGGUACACGAGUGGCGAACGGGUGAGUAACACGUGGGUGAUCUGCCCUGCACUUCGGGAUACGCCUGGGAAACUGGGUCUAAUACCGGAUAGGACCACUGCCUGCAUGGGUGGUGGUGGAAAGCUUUUGCGGUGUGGGAUGGGCCCGCGGCCUAUCAGAUUGGUGGUGGGGUGAUGGCCUACCAAGGCGACGACGGGUAGCCGGCCUGAGAGGGGGACCGGCCAAACUGGGACUGAGAUACGGCCCAGACUCCUACGGGAGGCAGCAGUGGGGAAUAUUGCACAAUGGGCGCAAGCCUGAUGCAGCGACGCCGCGUGAGGGAUGACGGCCUUCGGGUUGUAAACCUCUUUCAGCACCGACGAAGCGCAAGUGACGGUAGGUGCAGAAGAAGGACCGGCCAACUACGUGCCAGCCGCCGCGGUAA
This 478-nucleotide ribosomal RNA is filed under the name uncultured bacterium. Its description in RNAcentral is "partial 16S ribosomal RNA". It matches the Rfam family "Bacterial small subunit ribosomal RNA", at positions 28 to 523 of the family's 1533-position model. The record is from RNAcentral.